CCUACGGGCGGCAGCAGUGGGGAAUAUUGGACAAUGGGGGCAACCCUGAUCCAGCCAUGCCGCGUGUGUGAAGAAGGCCCUCGGGUUGUAAAGCACUUUCAGUGAGGAAGAACGCCUGGUGGUUAAUACCCAUCAGGAAAGACAUCACUCACAGAAGAAGCACCGGCUAACUCCGUGCCAGCAGCCGCGGUAAUACGGAGGGUGCGAGCGUUAAUCGGAAUUACUGGGCGUAAAGCGCGCGUAGGUGGCUUGAUAAGCCGGUUGUGAAAGCCCCGGGCUCAACCUGGGAACGGCAUCCGGAACUGUCAAGCUAGAGUGCAGGAGAGGAAGGUAGAAUUCCCGGUGUAGCGGUGAAAUGCGUAGAGAUCGGGAGGAAUACCAGUGGCGAAGGCGGCCUUCUGGACUGACACUGACACUGAGGUGCGAAAGCGUGGGUAGCAAACAGGAUUAGCACCCUUGUAGUC
Molecule: ribosomal RNA, 464 nt
Filed under: Vreelandella stevensii
Lineage: Bacteria; Pseudomonadati; Pseudomonadota; Gammaproteobacteria; Oceanospirillales; Halomonadaceae
Description: partial 16S ribosomal RNA
Rfam family: Bacterial small subunit ribosomal RNA
Source: RNAcentral